GGGGCGUUAGUUCAGUGGGAGAAUAUUUCGCUGGCAGCGAAAGGGUCAGGGGUUCGAAUCCCCUACGCUCCA
RNAcentral lists this transfer RNA (72 nucleotides) under Bacillus pumilus. RNAcentral's name for it is "tRNA-Ala". It matches the Rfam family "tRNA". From Rfam's summary of the family: Transfer RNA (tRNA) molecules are approximately 80 nucleotides in length. Their secondary structure includes four short double-helical elements and three loops (D, anti-codon, and T loops). RNAcentral also lists the same sequence under 16 other names. Lineage: Bacteria; Bacillati; Bacillota; Bacilli; Caryophanales; Bacillaceae. The record is from RNAcentral.